Molecule: non-coding RNA, 300 nt
Organism: Pelobates cultripes (western spadefoot toad)
Lineage: Eukaryota; Metazoa; Chordata; Amphibia; Anura; Pelobatidae
Source: the annotation of a GenBank genome assembly
GGACAUGAUUUCUAAACUGCCACCACUCCCUUAUUUUCAGGCCAACCUACACAAAUCUUAUAUCAAAACGUUCAGCUAUCCCUGCUGCCACUAAACAUGUCAACGGCUAAGCUGUAGUCCUGAUAGUUUUCACAAUAUAAUCAUUUGUUUGCAACUAACGCCGUCCAUUGACUUUCAUUGAAACUUCACUCUACAAAGCUCAAAUUUGAAGUGCAAUUUCUAAACUGCGACUGUGCCUUCAAUUUUAAUACUUCAGAGACAUACUAUGCAUCAAAAUGUAGGUCUGGGUCUUGUGAUUCU